This 667-nucleotide ribosomal RNA is filed under the name Absidia caatinguensis. RNAcentral's name for it is "eukaryotic LSU rRNA". The stretch from base 275 to 425 matches the Rfam family "5.8S ribosomal RNA". Lineage: Eukaryota; Fungi; Mucoromycota; Mucoromycetes; Mucorales; Cunninghamellaceae. The record is from RNAcentral.
UCCGUAGGUGAACCUGCGGAAGGAUCAUUAAAAAUGCUGGGCUCGGCUUUUACGGCCGUUUCCUACUAUUUUUACUGUGCACUGUCUAUUUUUUCUCUCUUUUUUUUUUUUUUUUCUCUUUCGGGGGGAAAAUUAAAGGGGGAAAAAGCCUGGGUGUAUACCUUUUUUCCUUUGGGAGAAUAUGGAAUCGCCCGGGGGGUCUUGAUUCAUUUCUUGGCCCAACUUUUAUACUAUUCUGACUGAACCAAAACAUGAAAAUUGUUAACAUAUAAACAACUUUCAGCAAUGGAUCUCUCGGCUUUCGUAUCGAUGAAGAACGCAGCAAAUCGCGAUAUGUAGUGUGAUCUGCCUAUGGUGAAUCAUCAAAUCUUUGAACGCAUCUUGCACCCUUGGGUAUUCCUGAGGGUACGCCUGUUUCAGUAUCAUUCUAACUUCUCGCCCAAAAUUUAUUUUUUGGCUGGAAAAAUCACUAUUGGCCUAAAGAAUGGGGUUUCGGCCCUCCUUUUUGGCUUAAAUACUAGGCUAGUAAUUUUAACUGGUAAUUACCUUUUGGUAGAGUAUUCUGCAGAAAAAGUAAAACUAAUUAAAAUUGGCCCAACCCUUACCAAUUUGAUCUGAAAUCAGGCGGGACUACCCGCUGAACUUAAGCAUAUCAAUAAGCGGAGGA